Molecule: ribosomal RNA, 497 nt
Filed under: uncultured bacterium
Lineage: Bacteria
Description: partial 16S ribosomal RNA
Rfam family: Bacterial small subunit ribosomal RNA
Source: RNAcentral
GAUGAACGCUGGCGGCGUGCCUAAUACAUGCAAGUCGAGCGAACAGAUAAGGAGCUUGCUCCUUUGACGUUAGCGGCGGACGGGUAAGUAACACGUGGGUAACCUACCUAUAAGACUGGGAUAACUUCGGGAAACCGGAGCUAAUACCGGAUAACAUUUGGAACCGCAUGGUUCUAAAGUGAAAGAUGGUUUUGCUAUCACUUAUAGAUGGACCCGCGCCGUAUUAGCUAGUUGGUAAGGUAACGGCUUACCAAGGCGACGAUACGUAGCCGACCUGAGAGGGUGAUCGGCCACACUGGAACUGAGACACGGUCCAGACUCCUACGGGAGGCAGCAGUAGGGAAUCUUCCGCAAUGGGCGAAAGCCUGACGGAGCAACGCCGCGUGAGUGAUGAAGGGUUUCGGCUCGUAAAACUCUGUUAUUAGGGAAGAACAAAUGUGUAAGUAACUGUGCACGUCUUGACGGUACCUAAUCAGAAAGCCACGGCUAACUACGUG